This 401-nucleotide ribosomal RNA is filed under the name Vibrio sp. con17. Its description in RNAcentral is "bacterial SSU rRNA". It matches the Rfam family "Bacterial small subunit ribosomal RNA", at positions 62 to 452 of the family's 1533-position model. Lineage: Bacteria; Pseudomonadati; Pseudomonadota; Gammaproteobacteria; Vibrionales; Vibrionaceae. The record is from RNAcentral.
UCCGGAAACGAGUUAUCUGAACCUUCGGGGAACGAUAACGGCGUCGAGCGGCGGACGGGUGAGUAAUGCCUGGGAAAUUGCCCUGAUGUGGGGGAUAACUAUUGGAAACGAUAGCUAAUACCGCAUAACGUCUACGGACCAAAGAGGGGGACCUUCGGGCCUCUCGCUUCAGGAUAUGCCCAGGUGGGAUUAGCUAGUUGGUGAGGUAAUGGCUCACCAAGGCGACGAUCCCUAGCUGGUCUGAGAGGAUGAUCAGCCACACUGGAACUGAGACACGGUCCAGACUCCUACGGGAGGCAGCAGUGGGGAAUAUUGCACAAUGGGCGCAAGCCUGAUGCAGCCAUGCCGCGUGUAUGAAGAAGGCCUUCGGGUUGUAAAGUACUUUCAGUCGUGAGGAAGGC